AUUGAACGCUGGCGGAAUGCUUUACACAUGCAAGUCGAACGGCAGCACGGACUUCGGUCUGGUGGCGAGUGGCGAACGGGUGAGUAACAUAUCGGAACGUAUCCAAUAAUGGGGGAUAACUAAUCGAAAGGUUGGCUAAUACCGCAUACGCCCUACGGGGGAAAGCUAGGGACCUUCGGGCCUGGCGUUAAUGGAGCGGCCGAUAUCUGAUUAGCUAGUUGGUGAGGUAAAGGCUCACCAAGGCGACGAUCAGUAGCUGGUCUGAGAGGACGACCAGCCACACUGGAACUGAGACACGGUCCAGACUCCUACGGGAGGCAGCAGUGGGGAAUUUUGGACAAUGGGCGCAAGCCUGAUCCAGCCAUUCCGCGUGAGUGAAGAAGGCCUUCGGGUUGUAAAGCUCUUUUGUCAGGGAAGAAACACCGGCUCUAACACAGUCCGGGAAUGACGGUACCUGAAGAAUAAGCACCGGCUAACUACGUG
RNAcentral lists this ribosomal RNA (483 nucleotides) under uncultured bacterium. RNAcentral describes it as "bacterial SSU rRNA". It matches the Rfam family "Bacterial small subunit ribosomal RNA", at positions 30 to 507 of the family's 1533-position model. The record is from RNAcentral.